This 239-nucleotide unclassified non-coding RNA is filed under the name air metagenome. RNAcentral describes it as "partial contains small subunit ribosomal RNA, internal transcribed spacer 1, and 5.8S ribosomal RNA". The stretch from base 1 to 46 matches the Rfam family "Eukaryotic small subunit ribosomal RNA", at positions 1786 to 1831 of the family's 1831-position model. The record is from RNAcentral.
AAGUCGUAACAAGGUUUCCGUAGGUGAACCUGCGGAAGGAUCAUUAAAGUUUUUCCCUGCCCCUUCUGGGUAGAAACACCACCCUUGUGUAUUAUAUCUUUGUUGCUUUGGCAGGCCGCCUUCGGGCACCGGCUUCCGCUGGAUGGUGCCUGCCAGAGAACCCCAAACUCUGAAUGUUUAGUGUCGUCUGAGUACUAUUGUAAUAGUUAAAACUUUCAACAACGGAUCUCUUGGUUCUG